UCCUUAGAUGUUCUGGGCCGCACGCGCGCUACACUGAUUCAUGCAACAAGUUUUGUCCUUGGCUGAUAGGCCUGGGUAAUCUUUGAACGUGAAUCGUGAUGGGGAUAGAUGAUUGCAAUUAUUCAUCUUCAACGAGGAAUUCCUAGUAAACGCAAGUCAUCAGCUUGCAUUGAUUACGUCCCUGCCCUUUGUACACACCGCCCGUCGCACCUACCGAUUGAAUGGUCCGGUGAAAUCUUCGGAUCUGAGAGAUGUCUGAUUAAUUUCGGACGCCUUUUGGAAAAGUUGUUUAAACCUUACCAUUUAGAGGAAGGUGAAGUCGUAACA
Molecule: ribosomal RNA, 327 nt
Filed under: uncultured eukaryote
Lineage: Eukaryota
Description: partial 18S ribosomal RNA
Rfam family: Eukaryotic small subunit ribosomal RNA
Source: RNAcentral